CCUAAAACACAGGUAACUACUGUCGACCAACACCGUCCAACCAAAACCACAGGUAACUACUGCCGACCAGUACCGUCCAACCAACACCACAGGUAACUACUGUCGACCAACACCGUCCAACCAACACCACAGGUAACUACUGCCGACCAGUACCGUCCAACCAACCAACACCACAGGUAACUACUGCCGACCAGUACCGUCCAACCAACCAACACCACAGGUAACUACUGCCGACCAGCACCGUCCAACCAACCAACACCACAGGUAACUACUGCCGACCAGUACCGUCCAACCAACCAACACCACAGGUAACUACUGCCGACCAGUACCGUCCAACCAACCAACACCACAGGUAACUACUGCCGACCAGUACCGUCCAACCAAAACACAGGUAACUACUGCCGACCAGUACCGUCCAACUAACCAACACCACAGGUAACUACUGCCGACCAGUACCGUCCAACCAACCAACACCACAGGUAACUACUGCCGACCAGUACCGUCCAACCAAAACCACAGGUAACUACUGCCGACCAGUAACGUCCAACCAACACCACAGGUAACUACUGCCGACUAGUACCGUCCAACCAACCAACACCACAGGUAACUACUGCCGACCAACACCGUCCAACCAACACCACAGGUAACUACUGCCGACCAGUACCGUCCAACCAACCAA
Molecule: long non-coding RNA, 679 nt
Organism: Pecten maximus
Lineage: Eukaryota; Metazoa; Mollusca; Bivalvia; Pectinida; Pectinidae
Exons: 3
Source: RefSeq, a predicted model, not a curated record